UAACUAAUGGAAUUUCAUGGUCUAGGAAA
RNAcentral lists this non-coding RNA (29 nucleotides) under Mus musculus (house mouse). Lineage: Eukaryota; Metazoa; Chordata; Mammalia; Rodentia; Muridae. The record is from RNAcentral.